This 554-nucleotide ribosomal RNA is filed under the name uncultured bacterium. Its description in RNAcentral is "partial 16S ribosomal RNA". It matches the Rfam family "Bacterial small subunit ribosomal RNA", at positions 355 to 902 of the family's 1533-position model. The record is from RNAcentral.
UGGGGAAUUUUGGACAAUGGGCGAAAGCCUGAUCCAGCAAUGCCGCGUGUGUGAAGAAGGCCUUCGGGUUGUAAAGCACUUUUGUCCGGAAAGAAAUCCUUGGCUCUAAUACAGUCGGGGGAUGACGGUACCGGAAGAAUAAGCACCGGCUAACUACGUGCCAGCAGCCGCGGUAAUACGUAGGGUGCAAGCGUUAAUCGGAAUUACUGGGCGUAAAGCGUGCGCAGGCGGUUUGCUAAGACCGAUGUGAAAUCCCCGGGCUCAACCUGGGAACUGCAUUGGUGACUGGCAGGCUAGAGUAUGGCAGAGGGGGGUAGAAUUCCACGUGUAGCAGUGAAAUGCGUAGAGAUGUGGAGGAAUACCGAUGGCGAAGGCAGCCCCCUGGGCCAAUACUGACGCUCAUGCACGAAAACGUGGGGAGCAAACAGGAUUAGAUACCCUGGUAGUCCACGCCCUAAACGAUGUCAACUAGUUGUUGGGGAUUCAUUUCCUUAGUAACGUAGCUAACGCGUGAAGUUGACCGCCUGGGGAGUACGGUCGCAAGAUUAAAACUC